This 91-nucleotide transfer RNA is filed under the name Pseudoduganella plicata. RNAcentral's name for it is "tRNA-Gly". The record is from RNAcentral. Lineage: Bacteria; Pseudomonadati; Pseudomonadota; Betaproteobacteria; Burkholderiales; Oxalobacteraceae.
GGCGAUGCCGGUACGCGGAUCGACGAGGCGGCGCUGCCGGCGUCGCUGAGGGCACGGUCACGCCGGCUGUUCGAGGCGGCCGUGUUGCUGC